This 520-nucleotide ribosomal RNA is filed under the name uncultured Glomus. RNAcentral's name for it is "SSU rRNA". It matches the Rfam family "Eukaryotic small subunit ribosomal RNA", at positions 569 to 1093 of the family's 1831-position model. Lineage: Eukaryota; Fungi; Glomeromycota; Glomeromycetes; Glomerales; Glomeraceae. The record is from RNAcentral.
AGCAGCCGCGGUAAUUCCAGCUCCAAUAGCGUAUAUUAAAGUUGUUGCAGUUAAAAAGCUCGUAGUUGAAUUUCGGGAUCAAUAUGUUGGUCGUGCCUUGGUACGUACUAAUUUAUUGGUUUCUUCCUUCUGACGAACCAUGAUGUCAUUAAUUUGGUGUCUUGGGGAAUCAGGACUGUUACUUUGAAAAAAUUAGAGUGUUUAAAGCAGGCUCACGCUUGAAUACAUUAGCAUGGAAUAAUGAAAUAGGAUGUUUGAUUCUAUUUUGUUGGUUUCUAGGAUCGACGUAAUGAUUAAUAGGGAUAGUUGGGGGCAUUAGUAUUCAAUUGUCAGAGGUGAAAUUCUUGGAUUUAUUGAAGACUAACUACUGCGAAAGCAUUUGCCAAGGAUGUUUUCAUUAAUUAAGAACGAAAGUUAGGGGAUCGAAGACGAUCAGAUACCGUCGUAGUCUUAACCAUAAACUAUGCCGACUAGGGAUCGGAUGAUGUUAAUUUUUAAUGACUCAUUCGGCGCCUUACGG